Molecule: ribosomal RNA, 443 nt
Filed under: uncultured bacterium
Lineage: Bacteria
Description: partial 16S ribosomal RNA
Rfam family: Bacterial small subunit ribosomal RNA
Source: RNAcentral
CCUACGGGUGGCAGCAGUGGGGAAUAUUGGGCAAUGGGCGCAAGCCUGACCCAGCAAUGCCGCGUGAAGGAAGAAGGCUUUCGGGUUGUAAACUUCUUUGACAGGGGAAGAGCAGAAGACGGUACCCUGAAAACAAGCCACGGCUAACUACGUGCCAGCAGCCGCGGUAAUACGUAGGUGGCAAGCGUUGUCCGGAUUUACUGGGUGUAAAGGGUGCGUAGGCUGUGAGGUAAGUCAGCGGUGAAAUGCCCCCGCUCAACGGGGUGAAGUGCCAUUGAUACUGCCUUGCUGGAAUGCGGAUGCCGUGGGAGGAAUGUGUGGUGUAGCGGUGAAAUGCGUAGAUAUUAGGAGGAACACCAGUGGCGAAGGCGGCCUACUGGACGGUGACUGACGCUGAGGCUCGAAAGCGUGGGGAGCAAACAGGAUUAGAUACCCCUGUAGUC